CCCCCGGCCCGGCGCGGCAGGGAAGGCAACUGCAUCCGAGUUCGGCGCGCUGGCGGCGGGGACGCUCGGCUGGUAGCUCCGAGCAGGACUCGGGCCCAGCCAGUGGUGCUUUCGGUUUCGAGUCCCUUUGGAGGAAACGAGCUGUCGUGUCAUGAGCCGCCCUUUGAAAGGCAGCAGCCAGCAAGGUACUGACGUCCCACACGAGUGAGCUUGGAAAUGGACACCCCCACCCCGUUGAACCUUGCGAUAACUGCAGUCCUGCCAACAUCUUGACUACAACUUUAUGAGAGACCCUGAACCAGAACCACCAGCCAAGGCCUCAUUUCCUGACCCUCGGAAACUAUGUAAGAUAAUAAAUAUUUAUUGCUUUCAGCA
Acinonyx jubatus (cheetah) is the source of this 375-nucleotide long non-coding RNA. RefSeq lists it as uncharacterized. The record is from RefSeq and is a predicted model, not a curated record. NCBI's taxonomy places the organism in Eukaryota, Metazoa, Chordata, Mammalia, Carnivora, Felidae. The transcript has 2 exons.